Molecule: ribosomal RNA, 442 nt
Filed under: Paenibacillus polymyxa
Lineage: Bacteria; Bacillati; Bacillota; Bacilli; Caryophanales; Paenibacillaceae
Description: partial 16S ribosomal RNA
Rfam family: Bacterial small subunit ribosomal RNA
Source: RNAcentral
UGGGCGUAAGCGCGCGCAGGCGGCUCUUUAAGUCUGGUGUUUAAUCCCCACGCUCAACUUCGGGUCGCACUGGAAACUGGGGAGCUUGAGUGCAGAAAAAGAGAGUGGAAUUCCCCGUGUAGCGGUGAAAUGCGUAAAGAUGUGGAGGAACCCCAGUGGCGAAGGCGACUCUCUGGGCUGUAACUGACCCUGAGGCGCGAAAGCGUGGGGAGCAAACAGGAUUAAAUACCCUGGUAGUCCCCCCCGUAAACGAUGAAUGCUAGGUGUUAGGGGUUUCUCCCCCCUUGGUGCCGAAGUUAACACAUUAAACAUCCCCCCCGGGGGGGACGGUCCCAAGACUGAAACUCAAAGGAAUUGACGGGGGCCCGCCCCAGCAGGGGAGUAUGGGGUUUUAUUUUAAACAACCCCAAAAAACCUACCAGGGCUUGGCCUCCCUCUGGGG